AAACACAGUUUUGUAACUGAAAAAUAGAGGAUAACCGACAGAUGCGAAACUGCCAGAUUGUGUCCCUGAGGCUCUCAGAAAUCUGUCAGCUUGCAAGGAGAACACAAAAGCAGCUUCAAAGAGAACGUAGGUGACCACAGCCUCUGACGUCUUGCAGGUUGGCACAGACUUCUGAGGGCCUGCUGUGUAUCUCUCCGCCUUGUUCCGGGCAAGGCCUCUCUUCCCUGCUACAGGAGCAGUCUGACCAAGGAAAUCAUGGAGCUCACCUCCCCUUAGUCAAGACCCACCC
Molecule: long non-coding RNA, 289 nt
Organism: Neogale vison (American mink)
Lineage: Eukaryota; Metazoa; Chordata; Mammalia; Carnivora; Mustelidae
Exons: 3
Source: RefSeq, a predicted model, not a curated record